Molecule: long non-coding RNA, 872 nt
Filed under: Equus caballus (horse)
Lineage: Eukaryota; Metazoa; Chordata; Mammalia; Perissodactyla; Equidae
Description: lncRNA (ENSECAG00000053659.1)
Source: RNAcentral
GGAAGCCAGGGGCUCUACCAUUUCCUUCCCCACCCCUGGGCCCUGCUGGGAACUCCAGGACGAGGAAAGUGAACAUCAGAGGAGGAAGGCCCCAGUGUGGAAGGGAGCCUGGGUGUCAGCCAAGCAGGGUUGCAGCGAUGAUCAGACUAGAUGUGCCCAUGGAAACCCUCGGUGGACUUUAUAAUCUACAAAAUGAAAGAUGAGGAAGCCGAGGCCUAGGAGUUGGAAUGACUUGCCCGAAGAGCACAGCAGAGGCUUGCAAAGGCAUCUCUGGGCCUUCCUCCUCAUCCUGCAUGCAGGCCUGGGCCCCUGUGUCCCCGUGAAGAGCUUGAUAAUCAGCCCCGUGCAGCCCAGUAACCAAGAGGCCUGAACUCUUCGGGGAUCCCAGCAGAGGAAGGGGUGCCCUCAGGCAGCUCCGCCAGACUGCCCUGCCCAGCCAGCAGCAGGCCGUCCAAGGAGAACUGGGAGAGAAGUUGGGAGAAGGCCAGCUGCUAACUGUGGAAAAUAAAUCGGGGACCUCUAACCACACAGCUGAAGAAGGGCCAGCGGCACGUAGACGUGUUUCCUUUUGUGCUCUUGCUCACCAACUGUAAUUGUUAAUUGAAAGCCACGAGUUAUAUAAGUUAUGCGGAUACCAAAGAAGGAAUCGACUCAGUGCUUGAAAAGAACCCAGCUGCUGAGUGGUUUUCAGGAUGAAGAAGGGUUUCUGAAAAGCAGGUGGCUGAGGAGGGCAGCCGCCCCAAAGAGGGCAACCAGGACAAACUGUCUCCCAGCGACAGCUCUCUGGAUCUGCAGACAUGUCGUUCCUGGGGUUUUAGAGUACAAGGAAGUGAUCAAGCUGCUGAUUGUUCACAAAAUCACAUAGAAAGUCC